AACGAACGCUGGCGGCAUGCCUAACACAUGCAAGUCGAACGAGACCUUCGGGUCUAGUGGCGCAUGGGUGCGUAACGCGUGGGAACCUGCCCUUAGGUUCGGAAUAACUCCCCGAAAGGGGUGCUAAUACCGGAUAAUGUCUUCGGACCAAAGAUUUAUCGCCUUUGGAUGGGCCCGCGUUGGAUUAGCUAGUUGGUAGGGUAAAAGCCUACCAAGGCGACGAUCCAUAGCUGGUCUGAGAGGAUGAUCAGCCACACUGGGACUGAGACACGGCCCAGACUACUACGGGAGGCAGCAGUGGGGAAUAUUGGACAAUGGGCGAAAGCCUGAUCCAGCAAUGCCGCGUGAGUGAUGAAGGCCUUAGGGUUGUAAAGCUCUUUUACCCGGGAUGAUAAUGACAGUACCGGGAGAAUAAGCUCCGGCUAACUCCGUG
RNAcentral lists this ribosomal RNA (433 nucleotides) under uncultured bacterium. RNAcentral describes it as "partial 16S ribosomal RNA". It matches the Rfam family "Bacterial small subunit ribosomal RNA", at positions 29 to 507 of the family's 1533-position model. The record is from RNAcentral.